CCGAAUUCGUCGACAACAGAGUUUGAUCCUGGCUCAGGACGAACGCUGGCGGCGUGCCUAAUACAUGCAAGUCGAGCGGAGUUUUGAAAAGCUUGCUUUUCAAAACUUAGCGGCGGACGGGUGAGUAACACGUGGGCAACCUGCCCUUGAGACGGGGAUAACUCCGGGAAACCGGAGCUAAUACCGGAUAACACAUAUCUUCGCAUGAGGAUAUGUUAGAAGGUGGCUUUUAGCUACCACUCAAGGAUGGGCCCGCGGCGCAUUAGCUAGUUGGUGAGGUAACGGCUCACCAAGGCGACGAUGCGUAGCCGACCUGAGAGGGUGAUCGGCCACACUGGGACUGAGACACGGCCCAGACUCCUACGGGAGGCAGCAGUAGGGAAUCUUCCGCAAUGGACGAAAGUCUGACGGAGCAACGCCGCGUGAGUGAUGAAGGUUUUCGGAUCGUAAAGCUCUGUUGUUAGGGAAGAACAAGUACCUGUUGAAUAAGCAGGUACCUUGACGGUACCUAACCAGAAAGCCACGGCUAACUACGUGCCAGCAGCCGCGGUAAUACGUAGGUGGCAAGCGUUGUCCGGAAUUAUUGGGCGUAAAGCGCGCGCAGGCGGUUCCUUAAGUCUGAUGUGAAAGCCCACGGCUCAACCGUGGAGGGUCAUUGGAAACUGGGGAACUUGAGUGCAGAAGAGGAGAGCGGAAUUCCACGUGUAGCGGUGAAAUGCGUAGAGAUGUGGAGGAACACCAGUGGCGAAGGCGGCUCUCUGGUCUGUAACU
This 771-nucleotide ribosomal RNA is filed under the name Priestia endophytica. RNAcentral describes it as "Bacillus endophyticus partial 16S ribosomal RNA". It matches the Rfam family "Bacterial small subunit ribosomal RNA", at positions 1 to 741 of the family's 1533-position model. Lineage: Bacteria; Bacillati; Bacillota; Bacilli; Caryophanales; Bacillaceae. The record is from RNAcentral.